This 150-nucleotide unclassified non-coding RNA is filed under the name uncultured Catenulifera. Its description in RNAcentral is "sequence contains ITS2". The record is from RNAcentral. Lineage: Eukaryota; Fungi; Ascomycota; Leotiomycetes; Helotiales; Hyaloscyphaceae.
CAACCCUCAAGCAUAGCUUGGUAUUGGGCUCCGCUACUCACCUAGCGGGCCUUAAAAUCAGUGGCGGUGCCGUCGAGGCCCUGAGCGUAGUAAAUAUCCUCGCUAUAGGGACCCGGCGGACGCUGGCCAUCAACCCCCAACUUUCUAAGU